This 466-nucleotide ribosomal RNA is filed under the name uncultured bacterium. Its description in RNAcentral is "partial 16S ribosomal RNA". It matches the Rfam family "Bacterial small subunit ribosomal RNA", at positions 28 to 507 of the family's 1533-position model. The record is from RNAcentral.
GACGAACGCUGGCGGCGUGCUUAACACAUGCAAGUCGAACGGAAAGGCCCUGCUUGCAGGGUACUCGAGUGGCGAACGGGUGAGUAACACGUGGGUGAUCUGCCCUGCACUUCGGGAUAAGCUUGGGAAACUGGGUCUAAUACCGGAUAGGAACCAUCUUUAGUGUGGUGGUUGGAAAGUUUUUUCGGUGUAGGAUGAGCUCGCGGCCUAUCAGCUUGUUGGUGGGGUAAUGGCCUACCAAGGCGGCGACGGGUAGCCGGCCUGAGAGGGUGUACGGCCACAUUGGGACUGAGAUACGGCCCAGACUCCUACGGGAGGCAGCAGUGGGGAAUAUUGCACAAUGGGCGCAAGCCUGAUGCAGCGACGCCGCGUGGGGGAUGAAGGCCUUCGGGUUGUAAACUCCUUUCGCUAGGGACGAAGCGUUUUUGUGACGGUACCUAGAGAAGAAGCACCGGCUAACUACGUG